GACGAACGCUGGCGGCGUGCUUAACACAUGCAAGUCGAACGGAAAGGCCCUGCUUUUGUGGGGUGCUCGAGUGGCGAACGGGUGAGUAACACGUGAGUAACCUGCCCUUGACUUUGGGAUAACUUCAGGAAACUGGGGCUAAUACCGGAUAGGAGCUCCUGCUGCAUGGUGGGGGUUGGAAAGUUUCGGCGGUUGGGGAUGGACUCGCGGCUUAUCAGCUUGUUGGUGGGGUAGUGGCUUACCAAGGCUUUGACGGGUAGCCGGCCUGAGAGGGUGACCGGCCACAUUGGGACUGAGAUACGGCCCGGACUCCUACGGGAGGCAGCAGUGGGGAGUAUUGCACAAUGGGCGGAGGCCUGAUGCAGCAACGCCGCGUGCGGGAUGACGGCCUUCGGGUUGUAAACCGCUUUCGCCUGUGACGAAGCGUGAGAGACGGUAAUGGGUAAAGAAGCACCGGCUAACUACGUG
Molecule: ribosomal RNA, 468 nt
Filed under: uncultured bacterium
Lineage: Bacteria
Description: partial 16S ribosomal RNA
Rfam family: Bacterial small subunit ribosomal RNA
Source: RNAcentral